RNAcentral lists this ribosomal RNA (578 nucleotides) under uncultured bacterium. Its description in RNAcentral is "bacterial SSU rRNA". It matches the Rfam family "Bacterial small subunit ribosomal RNA", at positions 202 to 799 of the family's 1533-position model. The record is from RNAcentral.
CAAAGGAGCAAUCCGCUGGGAGAUGGGCUCGCGUCCGAUUAGAUAGUUGGCGGGGUAACGGCCCACCAAGUCAACGAUCGGUAGCCGGACUGAGAGGUUGAACGGCCACAUUGGGACUGAGACACGGCCCAGACUCCUACGGGAGGCAGCAGUGGGGGAUAUUGCACAAUGGGGGAAACCCUGAUGCAGCGAUGCCGCGUGAGUGAAGACGGCCUUCGGGUUGUAAAGCUCUGUCGCAGGGGACGAAAAUGACGGUACCCUGCAAGAAAGCUCCGGCUAACUACGUGCCAGCAGCCGCGGUAAUACGUAGGGAGCAAGCGUUGUCCGGAAUUACUGGGUGUAAAGGGAGCGUAGGCGGGAGGAUAAGUUGAAUGUGAAAUCCAUGGGCUCAACCCAUGGCUGCCUUCAAAACUGUUCUUCUUGAGUGAAGUAGAGGCAGGCGGAAUUCCUAGUGUAGCGGUGAAAUGCGUAGAUAUUAGGAGGAACACCAGUGGCGAAGGCGGCCUGCUGGGCUUUUACUGACGCUGAGGCUCGAAAGCGUGGGUAGCAAACAGGAUUAGAUACCCUGGUAGUCCACG